AGAGUUUGAUCAUGGCUCAGAUUGAACGCUGGCGGCAGGCCUAACACAUGCAAGUCGAACGGUAACAGGAAGCAGCUUGCUGCUUCGCUGACGAGUGGCGGACGGGUGAGUAAUGUCUGGGAAACUGCCUGAUGGAGGGGGAUAACUACUGGAAACGGUAGCUAAUACCGCAUAAUGUCGCAAGACCAAAGAGGGGGACCUUCGGGCCUCUUGCCAUCGGAUGUGCCCAGAUGGGAUUAGCUUGUUGGUGGGGUAACGGCUCACCAAGGCGACGAUCCCUAGCUGGUCUGAGAGGAUGACCAGCCACACUGGAACUGAGACACGGUCCAGACUCCUACGGGAGGCAGCAGUGGGGAAUAUUGCACAAUGGGCGCAAGCCUGAUGCAGCCAUGCCGCGUGUAUGAAGAAGGCCUUCGGGUUGUAAAGUACUUUCAGCGGGGAGGAAGGGAGUAAAGUUAAUACCUUUGCUCAUUGACGUUAUCCGCAGAAGAAGCACCGGCUAACUCCGUGCCAGCAGCCGCGGUAAUACGGAGGGUGCAAGCGUUAAUCGGAAUUACUGGGCGUAAAGCGCACGCAGGCGGUUUGUUAAGUCAGAUGUGAAAUCCCCGGGCUCAACCUGGGAACUGCAUCUGAUACUGGCAAGCUUGAGUCUCGUAGAGGGGGGUAGAAUUCCAGGUGUAGCGGUGAAAUGCGUAGAGAUCUGGAGGAAUACCGGUGGCGAAGGCGGCCCCCUGGACGAAGACUGACGCUCAGGUGCGAAAGCGUGGGGAGCAAACAGGAUUAGAUACCCUGGUAGUCCACGCCGUAAACGAUGUCGACUUGGAGGUUGUGCCCUUGAGGCGUGGCUUCCGGAGCUAACGCGUUAAGUCGACCGCCUGGGGAGUACGGCCGCAAGGUUAAAACUCAAAUGAAUUGACGGGGGCCCGCACAAGCGGUGGAGCAUGUGGUUUAAUUCGAUGCAACGCGAAGAACCUUACCUGGUCUUGACAUCCACGGAAGUUUUCAGAGAUGAGAAUGUGCCUUCGGGAACCGUGAGACAGGUGCUGCAUGGCUGUCGUCAGCUCGUGUUGUGAAAUGUUGGGUUAAGUCCCGCAACGAGCGCAACCCUUAUCCUUUGUUGCCAGCGGUCCGGCCGGGAACUCAAAGGAGACUGCCAGUGAUAAACUGGAGGAAGGUGGGGAUGACGUCAAGUCAUCAUGGCCCUUACGACCAGGGCUACACACGUGCUACAAUGGCGCAUACAAAGAGAAGCGACCUCGCGAGAGCAAGCGGACCUCAUAAAGUGCGUCGUAGUCCGGAUUGGAGUCUGCAACUCGACUCCAUGAAGUCGGAAUCGCUAGUAAUCGUGGAUCAGAAUGCCACGGUGAAUACGUUCCCGGGCCUUGUACACACCGCCCGUCACACCAUGGGAGUGGGUUGCAAAAGAAGUAGGUAGCUUAACCUUUGGGAGGGCGCUUACCACUUUGUGAUUCAUGACUGGGGUGAAGUCGUAACAAGGUAACCGUAGGGGAACCUGCGGUUG
Molecule: ribosomal RNA, 1522 nt
Filed under: Shigella dysenteriae
Lineage: Bacteria; Pseudomonadati; Pseudomonadota; Gammaproteobacteria; Enterobacterales; Enterobacteriaceae
Description: bacterial SSU rRNA
Rfam family: Bacterial small subunit ribosomal RNA
Source: RNAcentral